UCCGUAGGUGGCGAGCGUUGUCCGGAAUUACUGGGCGUAAAGGGAGCGUAGGCGGCUCGUUAAGUGAGGUGUGAAAUCCCUGGGCUCAACCCAGGAACUGCACUUCAAACUGGGGAGCUAGAGUGCAGGAGAGGUAAGCGGAAUUCCCGGUGUAGCGGUGAAAUGCGUAGAGAUCAGGAGGAACACCAGUGGCGAAGGCGGCUUUCUGGACUGUAACUGACGCUGAGGUGCGACAGCGUGGGGAGCAAACAGG
RNAcentral lists this ribosomal RNA (253 nucleotides) under uncultured bacterium. RNAcentral's name for it is "partial 16S ribosomal RNA". It matches the Rfam family "Bacterial small subunit ribosomal RNA", at positions 524 to 776 of the family's 1533-position model. The record is from RNAcentral.